AUGAAAGUAAAAAUGGUUCUACUGAAACAAGUGUUUAUCACUCUUUAACUGUUGAAGUUUCGACGUCAUUUGCAAUCGUCUCAGAUAAUUUCAAUUUUAAUAUUUGCAGUAAUAGCAAUGUAAAAGAUAAUGGUAGUAGUAAUAUAAAAGCACUCUACUCAUUUAUGUUAUUAAUGUGGUAAGAAAUAAUAUUAAUGAUUAUAAUUGCCCGAAAUUGACCCGCGAUUUAUUGUAUAAUAUAAUACACUGGUUAUUGGGAGCUUGAAAUAUUCGAUUUUGUGCUGAAUGUUAAACAAGUCGGAAACGGGAAGCUCGGUGCGUCAGUAGUGGAUAUCCGCUGACAUCUCCUAAGGGGUACCAAUUUGACCCAAAAGAAGCAACUUUAACACCCGGCAGGUUUGUUAAUAAUAGUAAGAUUUUAAUUUAAUUUGAAUUAUGAUAUUUGCAGUAAUAACCACAUUUUAUGUAAAAGAUUACCAUUAUCUUGAUGUUGCAGACGCGAAAACACAGAUUUAAUUUGAUAUUCACAGCUAGCAGCCAUAUUGUUGCGAGAAGGUUGGCGGACAUAACUAACUUCACUAAUUUGAUAAGCGCUCGACAGCGAUGGGCAAGAAGUGGUUGAAUAAGAUCAACGCUAGUUUCUUAUCUGUUUGACAUUAGUGGAUUAACAAAAUUCAUGAUACCACUUCUAACUUGGAAAAACAAAUAACUAUAAAAAGACUCUUCUCAUUAUUUAUUUUCUAGGCAAGUUACGGAUUUCAUAUAAUACUGCCACUAAGUGCCAAGCAUUUAGGCUCUGACCAUCCCACCUACUUCAAAGAUAAAGGAGCGCUGGUGGUGGUGGCCGGUGGUAAGUGAAUGGAAGAAUCCGUCGAGAACUCCCCGCAAUCUCGAGCAUGAAUGUGGAAUGGUAUAUUUUUGCAUAGGUCCAGGACAUCAGAGGAAGCCAUGAGGGAUUUUGGUAUAAUACAUGCAUUAUGGCAUCUACAACCAACCGCUCGAGACGCCAAAUUUCUUUGAUUUCCAAACAAGUGCCUCAUA
Hermetia illucens (black soldier fly) is the source of this 1041-nucleotide long non-coding RNA. RefSeq lists it as uncharacterized. The transcript has 3 exons. The record is from RefSeq and is a predicted model, not a curated record. NCBI's taxonomy places the organism in Eukaryota, Metazoa, Arthropoda, Insecta, Diptera, Stratiomyidae.